UAGCUCAGUCGGUAAAGAAUCUGCCUGCAACGCAGAAGACCCAGGUUCGAUUCCUGG
Molecule: transfer RNA, 57 nt
Filed under: Capra hircus (goat)
Lineage: Eukaryota; Metazoa; Chordata; Mammalia; Artiodactyla; Bovidae
Also listed under: 1 other name
Rfam family: tRNA
About the family: Transfer RNA (tRNA) molecules are approximately 80 nucleotides in length. Their secondary structure includes four short double-helical elements and three loops (D, anti-codon, and T loops).
Source: Rfam by way of RNAcentral